GGUGAAGUGCUCACUGAUAUCCGUGCGCUUGCGGAUCAAUUCCUUAUUGUGUUCCCAAAUAUCAACAAGCAUUUCUGGCGCCGUUGCCGAGGAGAAAGACGGUUUGCUGAGAUAACCUUGAGUCUUACUACUAGCUUGUGUCUAUACUUUUAUCUUUUCUUAUCUUUUAUAUUAUUUAUUUAUUUUCUUUACUCUUACCUUAUGGAAAACCAAAAUUCUAAAUCGAUCCAUGAAUCUGCAAUCCCUUCAGUAACUGACCUUUUACCAUGGGAAUCAUCAC
This 280-nucleotide long non-coding RNA is filed under the name Sorghum bicolor (sorghum). RNAcentral's name for it is "long non-coding RNA (SBIC_LNC002794)". The record is from RNAcentral. Lineage: Eukaryota; Viridiplantae; Streptophyta; Magnoliopsida; Poales; Poaceae.